AUUGAACGCUGGCGGCAGGCCUAACACAUGCAAGUCGAGCGGAUGAAGGGAGCUUGCUCCUGGAUUCAGCGGCGGACGGGUGAGUAAUGCCUAGGAAUCUGCCUGGUAGUGGGGGAUAACGUCCGGAAACGGGCGCUAAUACCGCAUACGUCCUGAGGGAGAAAGUGGGGGAUCUUCGGACCUCACGCUAUCAGUUGAGCCUAGGUCGGAUUAGCUAGUUGGUGGGGUAAAGGCCUACCAAGGCGACGAUCCGUAACUGGUCUGAGAGGAUGAUCAGUCACACUGGAACUGAGACACGGUCCAGACUCCUACGGGAGGCAGCAGUGGGGAAUAUUGGAAAAUGGGCGAAAGCCUGAUCCAGACAUGCCGCGUGUGUGAAGAAGGUCUUCGGAUUGUAAAGCACUUUAAGUUGGGAGGAAGGGCAGUAAGUUAAUAACUUGCUGUUUUGACGUUACCAACAGAAUAAGCACCGGCUAACUUCGUG
RNAcentral lists this ribosomal RNA (484 nucleotides) under uncultured bacterium. RNAcentral's name for it is "partial 16S ribosomal RNA". It matches the Rfam family "Bacterial small subunit ribosomal RNA", at positions 30 to 507 of the family's 1533-position model. The record is from RNAcentral.